UACGUAGGGUGCGAGCGUUAAUCGGAAUUACUGGGCGUAAAGCGUGCGCAGGCGGCUCUUCAAGUCAGAGGUGAAAGCCCCGGGCUUAACCUGGGAACCGCGUGUGAAACUGGAGGGCUGGAGUGUGGCAGAGGGAGGUGGAAUUCCACGUGUAGCAGUGAAAUGCGUAGAGAUGUGGAGGAACACCGAUGGCGAAGGCAGCCUCCUGGGCCAACACUGACGCUCAUGCACGAAAGCGUGGGGAGCAAACAGG
RNAcentral lists this ribosomal RNA (253 nucleotides) under uncultured bacterium. RNAcentral describes it as "partial 16S ribosomal RNA". It matches the Rfam family "Bacterial small subunit ribosomal RNA", at positions 524 to 776 of the family's 1533-position model. The record is from RNAcentral.